Non-coding RNA from Trametes gibbosa, 87 nucleotides. NCBI's taxonomy places the organism in Eukaryota, Fungi, Basidiomycota, Agaricomycetes, Polyporales, Polyporaceae. The record is from the annotation of a GenBank genome assembly.
CCUUCGAUAGCUCAGUUGGAAGAGCGUGGGACUGUAAUUUGAAACUCCGAAAUCCCAAGGUCACUGGUUCGAUCCCGGUUCGAAGGA